Molecule: ribosomal RNA, 303 nt
Filed under: uncultured bacterium
Lineage: Bacteria
Description: partial 16S ribosomal RNA
Rfam family: Bacterial small subunit ribosomal RNA
Source: RNAcentral
AGCAGUAGCCACGGUAAGACAGAGGGUGCAAACGUUGUUCGGAAUUACUGGGCGUAAAGCGAGUGUAGGCGGUUCGGUAAGUCGGAUGUGAAAGCCCCGGGCUCAACCCGGGAAGUGCACUCGAUACUACCAAGCUAGAGUACUGGAGAGGUUGGUGGAAUUCUCGGUGUAGAGGUGAAAUUCGUAGAUAUCGAGAGGAACACCGGUGGCGAAGGCGGCCAACUGGACAGAUACUGACGCUGAGACUCGAAAGCGUGGGGAGCAAACAGGAUUAGAUACCCGUGUAGUCCCUGUCUCUUAUAC